Molecule: ribosomal RNA, 402 nt
Filed under: uncultured prokaryote
Description: bacterial SSU rRNA
Rfam family: Bacterial small subunit ribosomal RNA
Source: RNAcentral
UGGGGAAUAUUGGGCAAUGGGCGCAAGCCUGACCCAGCAACGCCGCGUGAAGGAUGAAGGUUUUCGGAUUGUAAACUUCUUUGAUCGGGGACGAAAUUGACGGUACCCGAAAAACAAGCCACGGCUAACUACGUGCCAGCAGCCGCGGUAAUACGUAGGUGGCGAGCGUUAUCCGGAAUUACUGGGCGUAAAGGGCGUGUAGGCGGGAAGACAAGUCAGGAGUGAAAUCCCAGGGCUUAACCCUGGAGCUGCUUCUGAAACUGUUUUUCUUGAGUAUCGGAGAGGAAAGUGGAAUUCCCAGUGUAGCGGUGAAAUGCGUAGAGAUUGGGAGGAACACCAGUGGCGAAGGCGACUUUCUGGACGAUUACUGACGCUGAGGCGCGAAAGCGUGGGGAGCAAACA